Molecule: ribosomal RNA, 232 nt
Filed under: uncultured bacterium
Lineage: Bacteria
Description: partial 16S ribosomal RNA
Rfam family: Bacterial small subunit ribosomal RNA
Source: RNAcentral
CGGACGGGUGAGUAAUGUCUGGGAAACUGCCUGAUGGAGGGGGAUAACUACUGGAAACGGUAGCUAAUACCGCAUAACGUCGCAAGACCAAAGAGGGGGACCUUCGGGCCCCUUGCCAUCGGAUGUGCCCAGAUGGGAUUAGCUAGUAGGUGGGGCAAAGGCUCACCUAGGCGACGAUCCCUAGCUGGUCUGAGAGGAUGACCAGCCACACUGGAACUGAGACACGGUCCAG